GAUGAACGCUGACAGAAUGCUUAACACAUGCAAGUCGAUUCGAUUUACCUUCGGGUAUUGAGGAUGGCGGACGGGUGAGUAACGCGUAAGGAACUUGCCUCUUGGUCUGGGACAACUGUUGGAAACGACAGCUAAUACCGGAUAUUAUGAGAUUCUCGCAUGGGAAACUUAUGAAAGCUAUAUGCGCCAAGAGAGAGCCUUGCGUUCCAUUAGCUAGUUGGUGGGGUAACGGCCCACCAAGGCGACGAUGGAUAGCCGGCCUGAGAGGGUGAACGGCCACAAGGGGACUGAGACACGGCCCUUACUCCUACGGGAGGCAGCAGUGGGGAAUAUUGGACAAUGGACCAAAAGUCUGAUCCAGCAAUUCUGUGUGCACGAUGAAGGUCUUCGGAUUGUAAAGUGCUUUCAGUUGGGAAGAAGCAAGUGACGGUACCAACAGAAGAAGCGACGGCUAAAUACGUGCCAGCAGCCGCGGUAAUACGUAUGUCGCAAGCGUUAUCCGGAUUUAUUGGGCGUAAAGCGCGUCUAGGCGGAAAAAUAAGUCUGAUGUUAAAAUGCGGGGCUCAACUCCGUAUUGCGUUGGAAACUGUUUUUCUAGAGUACUGGAGAGGUGGGCGGAACUACAAGUGUAGAGGUGAAAUUCNUA
RNAcentral lists this ribosomal RNA (646 nucleotides) under uncultured prokaryote. RNAcentral's name for it is "bacterial SSU rRNA". It matches the Rfam family "Bacterial small subunit ribosomal RNA", at positions 28 to 692 of the family's 1533-position model. The record is from RNAcentral.